This 1862-nucleotide long non-coding RNA is filed under the name Bos grunniens (domestic yak). RNAcentral describes it as "lncRNA (ENSBGRG00000015846.1)". Lineage: Eukaryota; Metazoa; Chordata; Mammalia; Artiodactyla; Bovidae. The record is from RNAcentral.
AUGAAAUCACCCUCUUCACCAGGACAAGAAGGCCCUGUCUCACCUGCUCUGCCCCUGCCUCUCGGCCCUCUGGCCCGCACAGCACAAUCUACCCCAGGGCCUUUGCACUUACUUGCUCUGCCCUCUGCCUGGGACAUCGCCUUCCCCACUUUUUUCCAGACUCUGUCCUUCCCCACUCCCACCCUACCUGCUACUUUCAGAUCUUAGUCAUAAGCUUCCCUCCCUCACUCAGAGAGUCAGCCCCUGACCACCUUAUCACAAGCAGCACACACAGCUGGUCUCUCUGCCCAGCCCCGGCCCCCACGUCCCUUCUCAGCCCAUCUUGCCCCUGAAAGGCACGGGGAGGGCUUGGAGUUUGAACAGGUGUCUCAGGAAUACUGAGCCCCAUCCCCACCCCUGCACCGGGUCUUGGCUGUAGCACGCAGGCUUCUCUAGUUGCAGUGUGCAGACUUAGUGGGAUGUUAGUUCCCUGACCAGAGAUCAAACCCAUGUCCCCUGCACUGGAAGGUAGGUUCUUAACCACCUGACCACCGGGGAAGUCCCUGAAAGUAGCUCUUUAAACGGGAACUACUAAAGCUCUCAUUUUAUCGUAAUCAUCGUCAUUAUUAUUGUGGAUUGUGGAAUGAAGUGUUGCUAGGUAAUAAAGCCCUAGCUGGCCCAGAGGUGGCCCACCUCUUUCCCCUUAAGAACAAGGGACCAAGUGAAAGCAUUUUAGGGAAAAGGAAUCCAUCCAGCGUGUGCCGGGUGAACUGGGAGACUUCAUGCCUUUGAGCCAAGGCAGCGGGGAGACUGAUGGUCACUGGGCUCACCUGGGAGGUGGAGCUUGGGGGGCUUUCAGGGAGGGCUUCAGGCGAGCUGAAUGAUCAUGGGACGUCACUGCUCCCAAACCACUGCAGAUCUCAGAGAGAGAUUCCAGAAAUAAAGCACAGAGGUCACGGCUGAAGAAGGAUGAGCCUUCUGAUCUUCAUGUAGACAGGAGACAGCAUCACCCCUUCCCAAAGGGCCUGUGUCCCCCAAGAUGGUCCAGGGAGAGCUAGGAAGAGCCCCUGAUGGGGGCCAGACUAGAGCAGGUGCCCAGGAGAGGGCAGGUGAUGCCAGAAGCCCAGGGAUUGUGAGGGCAGUGGGGCCAUCUGUACCUGGACAAGGCUUCUGAGCUCAGGGUGUUGACACCUGGGGCCUGGACAGGAGAAAGAGGGGCGGCUGAGGCGCCUGAGCCUGGCGGGACAGACACCUCUGAUGGAUGAAGAGGGUCCCAGCCCUGCUCCAGACACAAGGGGUCAGCCUGCAGGAGUGGGUAGGGCUGCAGAACACACGGGCCCUGAGCCCAGGAAGGCCUGGUUUGGGAUCUCAGCAGUGUCACCCACCGCCUGUGUGACCUCAGCACCUCUUGCCUUGAUUCUCAUAUCUUUAAAAUGGGUGUAAAGAGAACCAGCCCUGCAGGAUUUUUAUAAAGACUAACUAGAUCUUCGAUGCGAGAUUCCCUGGUGCUUUGACUGCCAUCACCCAGUUCAGUCCCUGAUUGGGGAGCUGAGAUCCUGCAAGACAUGUGAUACAGCCAAAGGGGGAAAAAAGAAAAAAAAAGAUCAUGGAUGGAAAGGAUUUAGCAGACUAUUGGGCUUCCCUGGUGGUUCAGGUGGUGUAGAAUCUGCCUGCAGUACAGGAGACCCAGGUUCAAUCCCUGGAUCAGGAAGAUCCCCUGGAGAAGGGAAUGACUGCCCAUUCCGGUAUUCUUGCCUGAAGAAUUCCAUGGACGGAGGAGCCUGGCGGGCUACAGUCCAUAGGUUCACAAAGAGUCGGACACAACUGAGCAACUAACACUUUCAUUUUUCAUACCUCGUGAACCGUAAGUAAUGGUGAGUGAG